This 208-nucleotide ribosomal RNA is filed under the name uncultured bacterium. RNAcentral's name for it is "partial 16S ribosomal RNA". It matches the Rfam family "Bacterial small subunit ribosomal RNA", at positions 1293 to 1500 of the family's 1533-position model. The record is from RNAcentral.
UCGGAUUGUAGGCUGCAACCCGCCUACAUGAAGUUGGAAUUGCUAGUAAUCGCAGAUCAGAAUGCUGCGGUGAAUACGUUCCCGGGCCUUGUACACACCGCCCGUCACACCAUGGGAGCCGGUAAUACCCGAAGUCAGUAGUCUAACCGCAAGGGGGACGCUGCCGAAGGUAGGAUUGGCGACUGGGGUGAAGUCGUAACAAGGUAGC